Molecule: long non-coding RNA, 543 nt
Organism: Cavia porcellus (domestic guinea pig)
Lineage: Eukaryota; Metazoa; Chordata; Mammalia; Rodentia; Caviidae
Exons: 2
Source: RefSeq, a predicted model, not a curated record
UUGAUUUUACUACUGUUGCUUUGUAGUAUAACUUCAAGUCAGGGAUUGUGAUGCCUCCUGCUUAGAAUUGCCUUUGCUAUUCUAGGUCUCUUCUCGUUCCAGAUGAAUUUCAGGAGUGAUUUCUUUGGAUCUAUAAGCUCCUGAGACUCUGGCACUCCGCCACCCCAAGCCACUGGGCCCGCAGAACCAACAGCCCUCCUCUGCCUGCUCAGAACUCUGCAGUUCCAGACAAGCUCGGCCUCAGGGACACUGUGUGCCCACCUGUUGGGGGUUGCUCGAGCCGCUCCCCUAAGAUGGCGCCCGUUUCCUGCUUCCGGGUCCCUGUUGCCAUGCAAACAACCCUGCCAAAAUGAGUGUCUACCUAGCUACCAGUGACUGUGGCCUAUCAGCAUGCGACUUCUGCUUCGUAUUGAUUGGUUACUCAGAUCCUAUAUAAGUGUGUGUUUCUGCCCCCAACGGGCAGAAGAGGAAGAAACUUGAGGUUGGCGGAUCUUGUCAGAUCCAGCUUCGCUGUAUACAAUAAAUAUUGAGAGCUGAUCCAAA